RNAcentral lists this long non-coding RNA (1097 nucleotides) under Gallus gallus (chicken). Lineage: Eukaryota; Metazoa; Chordata; Aves; Galliformes; Phasianidae. The record is from RNAcentral.
GUUCCCCUCUCCCUGGGGUCGCCGGCGCUGCGUCCCCCCGGCCCCGGGCGGCACUUCGGGGCGGUGGAGGCGGACGGGGAAGGCGGAGUCGGGACAUUCACCGGGGGGACAAAGGAAAAGGAACCGCGGCCGGACGGGGCGGGCCGGACACUGUGGGGGGGGGGGGCCGCCGGGGGGGGCCCUGCAGCUCCUAUAGGGCAGCGGGGGGAUCGCACGGCACUACGGGUCCUAUAGGGCGUGGGGGUUCCUAUGGGUCUUAUGGGGUUCCUAUGGGUCCUAUGGGUCUGUGGGGGUCCCUAUGGGGGCCCUGUACAUCCCUGGAGUUCCUAUGGGUCCUAUGGGUCUGCAGGGUUCCCUAUGGGGGCCCUGUACAUCCCUGGGGUUCCUAUGGUUCUCUGGGGGUCCUUAUGGGUCCUAUGGGUCUGUGCGGUUCCCUAUGGGGGCCUUGUACAUCCCUGGGGUUCCUAUGGGUCUGUGGGGUUCCCUACGGGGGCCCUGUACAUCCCUGGGGUUCCUAUGGGUCUUAUUGGGUUCCUAUGGGUCCUGUGGGUCUGUGGGGUUCCUUAUGGGGGCCCUGUACAUCCCUGGGGUUCCUAUGGGUCUCUGGGGGUCCCUAUGGGAGUUUAUGGGGUCCCUAUGGCUCUUAUGGAUCUGUGGGGUCCCUAUGGGUUGUAUGAGUUUCUGGGGGUCCCUAUGGGUCCUGUACAUCUCUGGGGUUCCUAUAGGUCCUAUGGGUUCUCUGUGGGCCCCUGUGGGUCUUAUAGGGCCGCGGGGUGACCACACGCCCCUAUGGGUCCUAUAGGUUCCUAAGGGUCCCUAUGGGGUGCGGCAGAUCCCAAAGGUGUCUAUAGGUCCCCACGGGUCUCUGUGGGGCCCUACGUUUCCUAUGGGUCUCAAGGGUGUCUGUGGGCCCACGGGGCUCGUAUGGGUCUCUAUAGCUCCCUACUGGUCUCUUAAGGGCCCUCAUAGUUCUCUAUGGGUUCUAUAGGGCCUCUGUGGGGCCCAACGGGUCUCUAUGGGGCACUACAGCUCCUAUAGGUCCCCACUGUCCCAAUGGGUCUCUAUGGGGUCCUGUAAGUCCCCAGGGUACACACGGG